Molecule: ribosomal RNA, 305 nt
Filed under: uncultured bacterium
Lineage: Bacteria
Description: partial 16S ribosomal RNA
Rfam family: Bacterial small subunit ribosomal RNA
Source: RNAcentral
ACAGCAGCAGCCCGGGAAAACGGAGGGUGCAAGCGUUAUCCGGAUUCACUGGGUUUAAAGGGUGCGUAGGCGGAUCUGUAAGUCAGUGGUGAAAUCUCUAGGCUUAACCUGGAAACUGCCGUUGAUACUAUAGGUCUUGAAUUUUGUGGAGGUUAGCGGAAUAUGUCAUGUAGCGGUGAAAUGCAUAGAUAUGACAUAGAACACCAAUUGCGAAGGCAGCUGGCUACACAACUAUUGACGCUGAGGCACGAAAGCGUGGGGAUCAAACAGGAUUAGAUACCCCGGUAGUCCCUGUCUCUUAUACA